GACGAACGCUGGCGGCGUGGAUUAGGCAUGCAAGUCGAACGGUAUCAUCCUUUCGGGGGUGAGAGAGUGGCGAACUGGUGAGUAACACGUAGGUUAUCUACCCUCAAGACGGGGACAACCCAGGGAAACUUGGGCUAAUACCGGAUGUGAGCAACUUUUAGUUGUUUGAAAGGUGGCGUAAGCUGUCGCUUGGGGAUGAGCCUGCGUCCUAUUAGUUAGUUGGUGAGGUAACGGCUCACCUAGGCAAUGAUAGGUAGGCGGCCUUAACGGGUGGUCGCCCACACUGGGAUUGAGAUACGGCCCAGACUCCUACGGGAGGCAGCAGUCGAGAAUAGUCUACAAUGGUCGGAAGACUGAUAGUGCGACGCCGCGUGAACGAUGAAUCCCUUCGGGGUUAAAGUUCUUUUAUAUGUGAGCAGUGCUUCUUAUAUUAACAGUAUGGGGAAGAGAUAUUAGGCAUAUGAAUAAGCAACGGCUAACUCCGUGCCAGCAGCCGCGGUAAACUGU
Molecule: ribosomal RNA, 507 nt
Filed under: uncultured bacterium
Lineage: Bacteria
Description: bacterial SSU rRNA
Rfam family: Bacterial small subunit ribosomal RNA
Source: RNAcentral